Molecule: ribosomal RNA, 521 nt
Filed under: uncultured eukaryote
Lineage: Eukaryota
Description: bacterial SSU rRNA
Rfam family: Eukaryotic small subunit ribosomal RNA
Source: RNAcentral
UCGCCGAAUGAGUUUCUGACCUAUCGAACUCGAGACGGCGGGGUAGAGGCCCGCCGCGGUAACGACGGGUAACGGGGAAUCAGGGUUCGAUUCCGGAGAGGGAGCCCGAGAAACGGCUACCACUUCCAAGGAAGGCAGCAGGCGCGCAACUUACCCUAAUCUCGAUUCGAGGAGGUAGUGACAAGAAAUACCGAUGCGGGACCCUACGGGUGCCGCGUUCGGAAUGAGUACGAUUCGAACCACCUAACGAGGAACGAUCGAGGGCAAGUCUGGUGCCAGCAGCCGCGGUAAUUCCAGCUCCAAUAGCGUACGUUAAAGUUGCUGCAGUUAAAAAGCUCGUAGUUGAACGUUCGGGUUCCGCGGGACGGGGCCGCCCCGCGAGGGACGGCGCCGCCCCGGGGCUCGUGAUAUCUCAUCUCGCCGCCCGUCGCGAGGCGGACGGAGGGAUGGAUGAGGUUACCUGGAAAAAAAUCGGGGCGAUCUAGGCGGGCGAACCUCGCCAACGAACGAUCGGACAUGGG